Molecule: microRNA precursor, 82 nt
Filed under: Ailuropoda melanoleuca (giant panda)
Lineage: Eukaryota; Metazoa; Chordata; Mammalia; Carnivora; Ursidae
Description: mir-27
Rfam family: mir-27 microRNA precursor family
Source: RNAcentral
UGGCCUGGGGAGCAGGGCUUAGCUGCUUGUGAGCAGAGUCCACACCAAGUCGUGUUCACAGUGGCUAAGUUCCGCCCCCCGG